AUUAAUUGUUUUGCCACUGUUUUAUUUAUGUUAGGACAUUCAAACAUUUUUAAGGAUGUUGGUUUCUCCACCAUUAUUAUCUAGGUAUUAUUUGUCACACCUGGAAUAUUUUAGUUUUGACCUUUGAAAACUUUAAUUGUUUGACUUGUUUUUGAAUUUUGAAUUUUGAAUCAGUUUUGAACUAACGCGAGAUUAGCAACAGUAAUCGACGUGACGUGGCAUCAUUAGCAGAGGUUACUGUAGCUUGAUUAUCCGGGCGUCACAAUUCUCCUCCACUACAAGAAAUCUCGUCCCGAGAUUUAAGCGGUGGAGUAAGGGAGGAAAAUGUUGGUAGCGAAAACCUAACGAGUCUUCUCGGUCUUGGCUGCCCUUUCGAAGAGGUUGAUCCCUUUUGUUGAUGUCUUUAAUUCUCUGCUUCAGGUCAUCAUGAUGAAGUCGUGAUCAUUUCUUCGGAAUUUUCAUUGUACAUAUGACGGACAAGGGGUAACUUCGGAAAAACGGACCUCCGAAAGGUUAACUAUCUGGUUGAUAAAAUCGGGGGAAGGUGGAAAGUAACUCUCGAAUUGAAACUUAAGAAAAUAUCGAGAGCAAAGUAUGAAGGUAGCAUGAGAAGUUUCGAGCGGGCAUGCAAUCGUUCGUUGCCUGAAACGAAGAGUGAAAAGGGUUCAGAGCAACGAGAAUAACAUGGUGUUUGAUUCCAGGAUGAAUAAUGAUAUAGAUUUUAGCUCUUGAAUCACAUACGAAGCUAGGUGCACAGGAUACAUUAGAAUCCGGGUUGUAAAGAAGAGUCAGGUUUCGAUCCUGUGGAACUGUGGGUUAUGGGCCCACCAUGUGGGUUAAAAGUAGGAAGGACGGUGACAUCUUGCACGAUCAUGAUAGCAAGGCAUGUCAGAGGGUAGCCUGUCAGUUAUAUGUCAGCCACAUCGUCGGUACCAAGGGCGAGGGAAGAAGAGAACCAUUUUCCUGCUCGUUGAAACGAGGCGGACCAUUAGGCAAAGUUCUCGUCCAUCGAUGGUUACCGAAAUGUCACCAACAAUAGUAACAGGGUCUUACUGACAGAGUUGUACACCGAGGUGCUUACAUAAGCAGGAGAAUAUUACUGCUUAGAUCAUAUAGAUCAACAGAAAGGUUAAACCAAACAAUGGAAAGGAAAUUAUGAUUAUCAGAUUAAACAGAAGAAUGGAAAGGAAAAUGUGUUUAAACACAUAUUUCAAGGGUAUAUCCUUCUCAAGGACAAGCUGAGCAUGAUAUUCAUGACAGGAUAUAAUGUAGAAAACUCUUUAGGUAGGGGAGAGAAAUUUCAUGACAUUACCCAUACAACGGUGUUUGGAUAAUUGAGCAGGAAAUAUUUAGCAUUGGGCUUCAAAUGUUCCUGUUGAAAAUCGGAGUACCAUAGACAUGCUUCGAGAUAGCAAUGACAUGGUCAACAGGUGAAGAUCAGACUUUGGAAACAAAAGGGAUCCAUCAGGAACAACUUAUAGAGUAAGUCUUACAAUUUCAUCAUGGAAGAAUAGCUAACCUUGCUAAAAAGGAAAACUUAUAACAAUAGGUCCUCCCGCCAGGUGUGCUGGGUAUCACCACCUUACUGGGUCAUAAUAGACUAGUGUUAUAACUCUUGGAAAAAUGUUCCAACCAUCAUAUAUGACCGAGAUUCAGAUAUGAGCGGUGUUUGGAUACCUCAGACUCAGGAUGCCUGAGAAGAAAGGUGCAACAGAAAUUGUCGAAACGACAUCGAAGAUUCUCGGGAGAUGAACUAUGGAAGCGAGUUCCGAACAAAGGUUCAUCAUUAAAUCAAGGAGAGGUGAGGAGGUGACUGAUUGACUCAGCGACAAUCCAUUGAGAUUUCCAAAAGGUGGAUUUCCAUCGCUAGGUGAACAAGGAGAUAACAUUAACUAGAUCGAAUGACUUAAUGAUGUAUGCUCGAGGAAAACAUACACAGUUAAACAUUGGUUGAAAUGUGCACCCGAAAUAUGGGCUAGGUAGCACAAUCAAUGUUCGAAUGAUGAUUCAUUAAGCCAUAGACGUAGAAUGAAGCUAUAGACCAAUAACUUCAAAGCAAUAGGGUUGCUAGAAGUUUAGAAUUUACACAUCACAGACCAUUGGUCGGUAUUCCUUUUAGAAACAACACGGGGACCAAGAAAGAAUGGUGAUGGGGAGAAGUAUCACUGUACCGAGAUGUCAUACGAGGUGGUGAAAUUCUUACGACAUACUUGAUGUAUAAUUUGGUAAUACUCCAGGGUAGAACAUAUCAUAAGCUAGAUAGCAGGGAAAUCAAGGUACAACACAAAACACGCACAAGUUUGUGUUGAAUGGAAGGCAAUAAAAUGGUCGAUGAUAAAACAAAUCAUCGAGGGCAAGGAUGGUAUUUCUCAUCCAGAAUUCGAUAGAUAUCUUGGAAGAGCUCAGAAUGUUGAUGGUGAUCACGACAUUUUGUUGUCGAGGGGAUCCACGAAGAAGCAAUUGAUCAGCGACUGCAUCAAGCAAAAGGACUGAUGCAACAAAAGAGUAUUGGAGCCACGGAUACUACACAAACUCGGGGCAAGUUUGUUGUUCGAGGUGAAACGAUAUGACGAGGAAAAUCGACGUAAGCUUAGCUCAUCGUCGAAAGUGGUGCUCCGGGAAUAAGGACCAGGUAGCACAGUUAAAAUCAUCAAGAUAAUGAUAUAGCCAAACAGGCUAGGAAUGACGCGAUCGGGUACAAACGCGUAGGUAAGGAACAUUACUAAAAGUUGUUGAACCGUAGUGCGGAUUCGAUUCAAUUAUCGAUGUCCUUGAGUGUUUAAUAACUCGGAGCCCGUGAAAAAUUGGAAUCAAUGAGAAUGUAAUACUUGAUGGAGAACUCAUAAUAAGUUAUGCAGUUCCGUGAUAAUCUCGAGAUACCAGGGGGGUAAUACUCGAUGACAAACCAAAGUAGAGGUUGGACUGGGGUAUUGCUCUGCAGAAGACAAGUGCUUAAACUUGCACGAGAAAUGGUAUUUAAAAGAGAACAUGGUUGGAACCACGAUUGCAAAAUGUCAGAUCCCAUAUAUAAGACGAACUUAUACCAAGGGAAUAAUUAAUUUAAGAAAAGCUUUAAUGAUAAGAUCUACACCGUGUCCAUGGGCAUGAACGCAAAGUUCAAGGUCGACUCCCACUUCUCCAAUGCAUAACCUUUCAUUCACUUCUCAUUUUUCAAAGAAGUUGUAGUGUUGAAAUUUUAUCUGGCAAAAUACCAGAAGAGUAUGACUCAUGAAAAUUUUCGAGUUCACAAAUAUUAUGAAAGGCAUAGGUUCAACCCAUCAAGGCAUCUUAGGAACAUAUACCACAAACUUCGGAGUAAAUAUUACAAGCUCGAAAGAAGAGCAUUGUUCAAAAACAGAUGAUACAAUUUACCAAAUGCAUUAUAUACCCAUGGAAAGGCUCACAAGGUUAUUCAAUAUGAAGGACACUGUCGGAUAAAAUCCAACAAAGGAACCGAUGGUCCACAAGGGAUCUGAUGUGAGCAUCGGUACUCAACCAGAGGAAUAAGAAUACAAGGAGAUCUGAUUAUAGAAACAACUGACUAACUCAAAGUUCAAAUGCAAAGGAAUUAUGAUUUCCAAAUCAAGGGAUCAGAAGCAAACGCUCUGAUUAAGGAUGGAUAAGUUGAAUAGCCUUAGGGGUACAAUCGAUGGCAAUUCGAUUGGUCGAUACCAGCUCAUGUUAAAAAUGAUGUCUGAGCCGGAAGGAUGAAUUCUAGGAUCUGAUUGAGGAUUGCGAGCAUUCGCAACAUAUUGAAUCAAUGGACUCAAAAAGAUAAUGACAAAGGGUGCCAAUAAGAUUUCGAGACUUAUGGGAUUAAUCAUAAUGCUAGUAAGCAAGAAUUUCAAGAGCAAUAGGCUCCUGAGGAUUUUCGGAAGAUCGAAUGGUAUUCUGAACACUUUUGUGAUAUACUUGAAUUCAACUGGGGAUGAGCGGAUACUCGGUAAGUGCGAGAAUUAUCCGUAGGGGUAUUCAGGUGUCAAAGAACAGCAUAGCAGUAAGCUCAAAGGAUUCUUGGAACAACAGAGAGCAUUACGGGGUAUCUUGUAGUAACAAGAUCAACUGGGAAACAUUGUAUGAAUUGCGAGUAUACGUGGUUAUCCAUAGGAGUUCAUCGAUGAAAGGGAAUUCUAAAAGCGAUGAACACAAGUUCUCGGGUUAUCAGCGGAGAGUAUCUUCAGGGUCUUCACGUGCAGCAGACGAUCAUCAGUAAUAAGGGGCUCUUCGGGUGAAAGUGAUAACGAGAUCCUAAUGUUAGAUUUAGCAAAACUCACUUAACCUGAAUAGAAGAGAGAUCAGAGUCCCAGAGCAUAGACAAGGAGUAAAAGAUACUAAUACCACCCAAUGGUGACGUGGGCCCGUAAGCCACACAGUCAUGUUAUUAAAAGUUUUUCAAUGACUAGACUCGACUUCGGCCAAGGAGUUGGAAAGGGGGAUUCCUACAGGCAGUCGGCUCUGAUACCAACUUGUGACGCCCCCGAUUUGACCGUACACUAAUCAUGCACGCAAAUGUGUACGAUCAAGAUCAGGGACUCACGGGAAGAUAUCACAACACAACUCUACAACAUAAAUAAGUCAUACAAGCAUCAUAAUACAAGCCAGGGGCCUCGAGGGCUCGAAUACAAGUGCUCGAUCACAGACGAGUCAGCGGAAGCAACAAUAUCUGAGAACAGACAUAAGUUAAACAAGUUUGCCUUAAGAAGGCUAGCACAAAAGUAGCAACGAUCGAAAAGGCAAGGCCUCCUGCCUGGGACCUCCUAACUACUCCUCGAAGCCGAACUCCAUGUAGAAUCAUCCUCGGGAUCUCUAGCUCCUGGACUCCAGCAUCUGGUUGCGACAAUCCGGUAUAGAAAAAGGGAAAAGAGGGAGAAAAGCAACCGUGAGUACUCAUCCAAAGUACUCGCAAGCAAGGAGCUACACUACAUAUGCAUGGGUAUAUGUGUAAAGGGCCAUAUCAGUGGACUGAACUGCAGAAUGCCAGAAUAAAAGGGGGAUAGCUAGUCCUGUCGAAGACUACGCUUCUAGACAUCUCCAUCUUGCAGCAUGUAGAAGAGAGUAGAUUGAAGUCCUCCAAGUAGCAUCGCAUAGCAUAAUCCUACCCGGCGAUCCCCUCCUCGUCGCCCUGUUAGAGAGCGAUCACCGGGUUGUAUCUGGCACUUGGAAGGGUGUAUUUUAUUCAGUAUCCGGUUCUAGUUGUCAUAAGGUCAAGGUACAACUCCGGGUCGUCCUUUUACCGAGGGACACGGCUAUUCGAAUAGAUAAACUUCCCUGCAGGGGUGCACCACAUAACCCAACACGCUCGAUCCCAUUUGGCCGGACACACUUUCCUGGGUCAUGCCCGGCCUCGUAAGAUCAACGCGUCGCAGCCCCACCUAAGCACAACAGAGCGGUCAGCACGCCGGUCUAAUCCUAAGCGCGCAGGGGUCUGGGCCCAUCGCCCUAUGCACACCUGCACGUUGCGAACGCGGCCGCGAGCAGACCUAGCAACCCACACGAUCACGGCGGUUACGUCAAAGCGGUCCAACACGGCGCGCGCCACUCAGUCGCUGACGUCACGAGGGCUUCGGCUGAUACCACGACGUCGGGAUACCCAUAACUACUCCCACGUAGAUGGUUAGUGCGUAUAGACCAAAUGGCCAGACUCAGAUCAAAUACCAAGAUCUCGUUAAGCGUGUUAAGUAUCCGCGAACGCCGACCAGGGCCAGGCCCACCUCUUACCUAGGCGGUCUCAACCUGCCCUGUCGCUCCGCCACAAAGAUCCACUUGCGGGUACUCCUACGAGCCGACCCGACUUUAGUCAUCACAUGUGUCAUGUAUAUAGUAUAUAAGUAUAUACCCGUGAUCACCGCCCAGGUGAUCACGGCCCGAUAGUAUAGCACAGCAGACGGACAAGAAUGUAGGGCCACUGAUGGAAAUCUAGCAUCCUAUACUAAGCAUGUAGGAUUGCAGGUAAAGGUAUCAACAGUAGUAGCAAGGAUAGGCUAUGCAUCAGGAUAGGAUAUCGAAAAGCAGUAACAUGCUACACUACUCUAAUGCAAGCAGUAUAGAGAAGAAUAGGCGAUAUCUGGUGAUCAAGGGGGGGGCUUGCCUGGUUGCUCUGGCAAGUAGGAGGGGUCGUCAACUCCGUAGUCGAACUGGGCAGCAGCAGUGUCGGUCUCGUAGUCUACCGGAGAGAAGAGGGGGGAAGAAACAGUAAAUACAAUGCAAACAUAAGCAUGACGAUGCGUGACAUGUCAAUGAACAGUGCGAGGUGUGUCCUAACGCGACAGUAGGUGGUACCGGCGAAGGGGGGGAACAUCCGGGAAAGUAUUCCCGAUGUUUCGCGUUUUCGGACAAACGGACCGGAGGGGGAAAGUUGCUAGUUCGAUAGGUUAGGGAGGUGUGGUGGACGAACGGACUGCGUAUUCGGAUUCGUCUCGUCGUUCUGAGCAACUUUCAUGUUGAAAAUAUUUUAAUCCGAGUUACGGAUUAAAAGAUAUGAUUUUCUAAAGAUUUUAUUAAUUUCUGGAAUUUAAUUAAUUAUUUAAUUUAAUUCGAAAUUUGGAUUUAUGACAUCAGCAUGAUGUCAUGCUGACAUCAGCAGUCAACAGGGGUUGACUAAGUCAACUGACAUGUGGGUCCACUGGGACCCACCUGUCAUUCACUGUUUAGGUUAAUUAGUGUUUAAUUAAAUAAUUAUUAUUUAAUUAAAUUAAACAGGAUUAAUUAACUUAAUUAAUUUAGUUAGUUAAUUAAUUAAUUAAUUAAAAUUAUUUUUAUUUUUAUUUUAUUUAUUUAUUUUUAUUAAUUAAUUUAUUCUUAUUAUUAUUAUUAUUAUUAAUUUAUUUUAUUUAUUAUUUUAUUUUUAUUUAUUUUAGUUUUAUAAAUUAGGAAAAUAGUUUCUAAAUUAGUGUUAUGGUUUAACCCACUGCCACAAAAAGUCUCACUCCUAACUAAAAUAGUUUGAUAUUUUAUAAAUGAUAAAAGGCAUUUAAUUAAUUGUUUUGCCACUGUUUUAUUUAUGUUAGGACAUUNNNNNNNNNNNNNNNNNNNNNNNNNNNNNNNNNNNNNNNNNNNNNNNNNNNNNNNNNNNNNNNNNNNNNNNNNNNNNNNNNNNNNNNNNNNNNNNNNNNNNNNNNNNNNNNNNNNNNNNNNNNNNNNNNNNNNNNNNNNNNNNNNNNNNNNNNNNNNNNNNNNNNNNNNNNNNNNNNNNNNNNNNNNNNNNNNNNNNNNNNNNNNNNNNNNNNNNNNGGACAUUCAAACAUUUUUAAGGAUGUUGGUUUCUCCACCAUUAUUAUCUAGGUAUUAUUUGUCACACCUGGAAUAUUUUAGUUUUGACCUUUGAAAACUUUAAUUGUUUGACUUGUUUUUGAAUUUUGAAUUUUGAAUCGGUUUUGAACUAACGCGAGAUUAGCAACAGUAAUCGACGUGACGUGGCAUCAUUAGCAGAGGUUACUGUAGCUUGAUUAUCCGGGCG
Molecule: long non-coding RNA, 7456 nt
Filed under: Triticum aestivum (bread wheat)
Lineage: Eukaryota; Viridiplantae; Streptophyta; Magnoliopsida; Poales; Poaceae
Description: long non-coding RNA (TAES_LNC008933)
Source: RNAcentral